CUUCACUGUACAACAAUAAUCACGCCUAAAUCUUGAUCGUCUUCACUCGUUCGAAUUCUCACCUUCUACUUUUUCCUCGUUCGAUUCCAGUUUUCAAUGGCGUUGAACUAAUUCAAUUCGUCUCUUACAUUGUCUUCGUCGCGUUGCCCUUGACGGUCAUUUCCAGAUCCCGCCAUGGAAGCCCGAUGUGAGCAUCGAAACGAGCUCCUUGAUCAGAGCGGCGGUGCGGCCGAUCGGUUCGUUUCCGAUGAUUCUACUGCGGACUACUGGUCGAUGCUUCUGCUGUACCAAUGGAUUCCACUUUUGGCCAUAAGUUUGGUUUAUGCUUCUGCGGUACCAAUGGAUGCUUCUGCGUUACUGCGGAGAGGUUACCAUCAGUCAUUCGCUGUCGGAUCCUGCCUUAAGGCACUCCAAGGAUGGUAGCAGCCCUAGUUUCUGGAUACAUUAUGCAGGUAUUUAUUUCUGACAUUCUGCUCUUGAUUUCUAAUUAUUUCCUUUACUUAGUUCAUUAUCAAAUUCAUUUGUAUGCAUUCUAUGAUGCUCAAGCUCAUAAAUAUCAGUCCAAGCAUUGGUUUUUUCUCUGUUCUGUUAUUCCAAAAGGAAUUGUCAAAACAUUGUAACCCUAUUAAGUAUUCUAUUUAUAAUUCUUAUUUUACCUCGCAA
Molecule: long non-coding RNA, 663 nt
Organism: Cucurbita moschata (crookneck pumpkin)
Lineage: Eukaryota; Viridiplantae; Streptophyta; Magnoliopsida; Cucurbitales; Cucurbitaceae
Exons: 2
Source: RefSeq, a predicted model, not a curated record